Molecule: ribosomal RNA, 253 nt
Filed under: uncultured bacterium
Lineage: Bacteria
Description: partial 16S ribosomal RNA
Rfam family: Bacterial small subunit ribosomal RNA
Source: RNAcentral
UACGUAGGGUGCAAGCGUUGUCCGGAAUUAUUGGGCGUAAAGAGCUCGUAGGCGGGUUGGUGCGUCGGCUGUGAAAUCCCGAGGCUCAACCUCGGGUCUGCAGUCGAUACGAGCAAACUAGAGUGUUGCAGGGGAGACUGGAAUUCCUGGUGUAGCGGUGAAAUGCGCAGAUAUCAGGAGGAACACCGGUGGCGAAGGCAGGUCUCUGGGCUAACACUGACGCUCAUGCACGAAAGCGUGGGGAGCAAACAGG